RNAcentral lists this ribosomal RNA (1914 nucleotides) under Triticum aestivum (bread wheat). RNAcentral describes it as "partial small subunit ribosomal RNA". The record is from RNAcentral. Lineage: Eukaryota; Viridiplantae; Streptophyta; Magnoliopsida; Poales; Poaceae.
AUGGAUCAUCUCAGUCUUAGAAGCCUUGUCCGCCUUCUGCUCUCACUGCAUCUGUCAUUAUCGUUAUUCAACCCUCUGGCAGUAGCAGAUUUGGCCUCUGAGAGCCAAGCCCUUCUUGACUUUGCCUCUGCAGUCUAUCGCGGCAACAAGCUUAACUGGGGUCAAGGUACACCACCGUGUUCAUGGCAUGGUGUCAAAUGCUCAGCAGACCAGUCACACAUAUCUGAGUUGAGGGUACCAGGUGCUGGCCUCAUCGGAGCAAUCCCUCCAAAGACUCUUGGCAAGCUCGAUUCGCUCCAAGUUCUGAGCCUGCGGUCUAAUCUUCUAUCCGGAAGCCUUCCAUCUGAUGUGGCCUCACUUCCUUCUUUACGUUCCAUAUACCUUCAGCACAAUAAACUUUCAGGAGGUUUGCCUUCCUUUUUCAGUCCUAACCUUAGUGUAGUGGAGCUCUCCUAUAAUUCCUUCACUGGAGUGAUUCCUACAAGCUUAGAAAACCUUACUCAGUUAUAUCUCCUGAAUUUACAAGAAAAUUCUCUCUCCGGACCCAUUCCUGACCUGAAGCUUCCAAGCCUGAGACUGUUAAACCUGAGCAACAACGAGUUGAAGGGCUCAAUUCCUCGCUCGCUCCAAACAUUCCCAGAUAGUUCAUUCUUGGGGAACCCUGAACUAUGCGGGCCACCACUAGAUAAUUGCUCAUUUCCAACACCAACACCCUCCCCAGAAUUGCCUUCAACACCAUCAUCUCCAUCGCCUGCGCAUCACGACAGGAAACUGAGCAUAGGGUUCAUAAUCGCGGUUGCUGUCGGGGGAUUUGCAGUACUGAUGCUAAUUGUGGUUGUGUUGUGUGUGUGCCUUUCAAAGAGGAAGGGGAAGAAAGAGGCCGGUGUCGACUACAAGGGAACUGGUGUCAGGAGUGAUAAGCCGAAGCAGGAAUUCAGUAGCGGUGUCCAGACUGCUGAGAAGAACAAGUUGGUUUUCUUGGACGGUUGCACCUACAACUUUGACUUGGAGGAUCUACUGAGGGCUUCUGCAGAAGUCCUUGGCAAGGGGAGUUAUGGGACUGCCUACAAGGCUAUACUCGAGGACGGCACUGUUGUCGUUGUCAAGAGGCUAAAAGAUGUCGUGGCAGGGAAGAGGGAGUUUGAGCAGCAGAUGGAGCUCGUUGGGAGGUUGGGUAAACAUUCAAACCUAGUCCCGCUUCGUGCUUACUACUAUUCCAAGGAUGAGAAGCUUGUCGUCUACGAUUACAUUGCCACCGGCAGCUUUUCUGGCAUGUUGCACGGUAUCAGAGGUGUUGCUGAGAAGACGCCAUUAGACUGGAAUACCAGGGUGAAGAUCAUACUAGGAACAGCAUAUGGCAUCGCGCACAUCCAUUCAGAAGGCGGCGCAAAGCUCACCCACGGCAACAUCAAGUCGACCAACGUCCUCGUCGGUCAGGAUCAAAACGCGUACGUCUCAGACUACGGCCUCAGCUCUCUGAUGAACGCGCCCGUCAGCGCGUCCCGCGUCGUGGUCGGCUACCGCGCCCCGGAGACCAUCGAGAACCGGAAGAGCACGCAGAAGUCGGACGUGUACUGCUUCGGCGUCCUCCUCAUGGAGAUGCUGACGGGGAAGGCGCCGCUCCAGUCGCAGGGGAACGACGACGUGGUGGACCUCCCGAGGUGGGUGCACUCGGUGGUCCGGGAGGAGUGGACGGCGGAGGUGUUCGACAUCGAGCUGAUGAAGCACCAGAACAUCGAGGAGGAGCUGGUCCAGAUGCUCCAGGUGGCGAUGGCGUGCACGUCGGGCCCGCCGGAGCGGCGCCCGGCGAUGGAGGAGGUGAUCAGGAUGAUCGAGGGGCUCCGGCACUCCGCCUCGGAGAGCCGCGCCUCCUCCGACGAGAGGUUCAGGGAGCCCAACCCGCCGUCGGUCUAG